This 48-nucleotide non-coding RNA is filed under the name Schistosoma haematobium. Lineage: Eukaryota; Metazoa; Platyhelminthes; Trematoda; Strigeidida; Schistosomatidae. The record is from RNAcentral. RNAcentral also lists the same sequence under 1 other name.
AUUCAGCUGACGAGACCCAAAUAGGACGGAACGCGUGUCAAACUGAAU